Molecule: ribosomal RNA, 870 nt
Filed under: uncultured Desulfobacterales bacterium
Lineage: Bacteria; Pseudomonadati; Thermodesulfobacteriota; Desulfobacteria; Desulfobacterales
Description: SSU rRNA
Rfam family: Bacterial small subunit ribosomal RNA
Source: RNAcentral
GCUCAGAACGAACGCUGGUGGCGUGCUUAACACAUGCAAGUCGAACGAGAAAGUUUCCUUCGGGAAAUUAGUAAAGUGGCGCAAGGGUGAGUAUCACGUGAAUAAUCUGCCCUCGAGAUCGGGAUAACAUGGUGAAAACUAUGCUAAUACCGGAUAAGACCACAUUUCAGAAGAAAUGUGGUAAAAGGGGUCUCAAUCUCCACUCGAGGAUGAGUUCGCGCAACAUUAGCUUGUUGGUGAGAUAAAAGCUCACCAAGGCUACGAUGUUUAGCCGGCCUGAGAGGGUGAACGGCCACACUGGAACUGAGACACGGUCCAGACUCCUACGGGAGGCAGCAGUGGGGAAUAUUGCGCAAUGGGCGAAAGCCUGACGCAGCAACGCCGUGUGAGCGAUGAAGGCUUUAGGGUCGUAAAGCUCUGUCAAAUGGGAAGAAUUUUGACGGUACCAUUAGAGGAAGCCCCGGCUAACUCCGUGCCAGCAGCCGCGGUAAUACGGAGGGGGCAAGCGUUGUUCGGAAUUAUUGGGCGUAAAGCGUAUGUAGGCGGCUAAGUAAGUCAGGCGUGCAAGCCCGUGGCUCAACCACGGAAUUGCGUUUGAAACUGCUUAGCUUGAGUACAGGAGAGGAAAGCGGAAUUCCCAGUGUAGCGGUGAAAUGCAUUGAUAUUGGGAAGAACAUCUGUGGCGAAGGCGGCUUUCUGGUCUGUUACUGACGCUGAGAUACGAAAGCCAGGGUAGCGAACGGGAUUAGAUACCCCGGUAGUCCUGGCUGUAAACGAUGGGCACUAGGUGCAGGAGGUAUCGAUCCCCUCUGUGCCGUAGCUAACGCGUUAAGUGCCCCGCCUGGGGAGUACGGUCGCAAGGCUGAAACU